Non-coding RNA from Potamilus streckersoni, 67 nucleotides. Lineage: Eukaryota; Metazoa; Mollusca; Bivalvia; Unionida; Unionidae. The record is from the annotation of a GenBank genome assembly.
GAUGGCCUAGUGGUAGAGCAUCUGCCACAGAUGCAGGAGGUCAUGGGUUAGAACCCCGGUUAAUUCA